This 71-nucleotide transfer RNA is filed under the name Marmota monax (woodchuck). RNAcentral describes it as "tRNA.Ala". It matches the Rfam family "tRNA". From Rfam's summary of the family: Transfer RNA (tRNA) molecules are approximately 80 nucleotides in length. Their secondary structure includes four short double-helical elements and three loops (D, anti-codon, and T loops). Further hydrogen bonds mediate the characteristic L-shaped molecular structure. tRNAs have two regions of fundamental functional importance: the anti-codon, which is responsible for specific mRNA codon recognition, and the 3' end, to which the tRNAs corresponding amino acid is attached (by aminoacyl-tRNA synthetases). tRNAs cope with the degeneracy of the genetic code in two manners: having more than one tRNA (with a specific anti-codon) for a particular amino acid; and 'wobble' base-pairing, i.e. permitting non-standard base-pairing at the 3rd anti-codon position. The record is from RNAcentral. Lineage: Eukaryota; Metazoa; Chordata; Mammalia; Rodentia; Sciuridae.
GAGGUUGUGGCUCAGUGGCAGAGUACUUGCCUAGCAUGUAUGAGGCACUGGGUUCAAUUCUCAGCACCACA